GCCUGGGUGGCUCAGUGGUUGAGCAUCUGUCUUCGGCUCAGGUCGUGAUCCCGGGGUCCUAGGAUCGAGUCCUACAUCGGGCU
This is a non-coding RNA of Canis lupus familiaris (dog), 83 nucleotides long. Lineage: Eukaryota; Metazoa; Chordata; Mammalia; Carnivora; Canidae. The record is from Rfam.